CAGUCGCCGCGGUAAUACGUAGGUGGCAAGCGUUGUCCGGAAUUAUUGGGCGUAAAGCGCGCGCAGGUGGUUUAAUAAGUCUGAUGUGAAAGCCCACGGCUCAACCGUGGAGGGUCAUUGGAAACUGUUAAACUUGAGUGCAGGAGAGAAAAGUGGAAUUCCUAGUGUAGCGGUGAAAUGCGUAGAGAUUAGGAGGAACACCAGUGGCGAAGGCGGCUUUUUGGCCUGUAACUGACACUGAGAGACGAAAGCUAGGGGAGCAAAUGGGAUUAGAGACCCCAGUAGUCCCUGUCUCUUAUAC
Molecule: ribosomal RNA, 301 nt
Filed under: uncultured bacterium
Lineage: Bacteria
Description: partial 16S ribosomal RNA
Rfam family: Bacterial small subunit ribosomal RNA
Source: RNAcentral